Molecule: ribosomal RNA, 499 nt
Filed under: uncultured bacterium
Lineage: Bacteria
Description: partial 16S ribosomal RNA
Rfam family: Bacterial small subunit ribosomal RNA
Source: RNAcentral
GACGAACGCUGGCGGCGUGCCUAAUACAUGCAAGUCGGGCGAAGUUUUUCUGGUGCUUGCACUGGAAAAACUUAGCGGCGAACGGGUGAGUAACACGUAAAGAACCUGCCUCAUAGACUGGGACAACUAUUGGAAACGAUAGCUAAUACCGGAUAACAGUAUUUCUCGCAUGAGAGAUAUUUAAAAGUUGGUUAUGCUAACACUAUGAGAUGGCUUUGCGGUGCAUUAGCUAGUUGGUGGGGUAAAGGCCCACCAAGGCGACGAUGCAUAGCCGACCUGAGAGGGUGAUCGGCCACACUGGGACUGAGACACGGCCCAGACUCCUACGGGAGGCAGCAGUAGGGAAUCUUCCGCAAUGGGCGAAAGCCUGACGGAGCAACGCCGCGUGAGUGAAGAAGGAUUUCGGUUCGUAAAGCUCUGUUGUUAGGGAAGAAUGGAUAUGUAGUAACUAUACAUGUAAGAGACGGUACCUAACCAGAAAGCCACGGCUAACUACGUG